This 6001-nucleotide long non-coding RNA is filed under the name Homo sapiens (human). RNAcentral describes it as "non-protein coding lnc-FERMT2-2:2". Lineage: Eukaryota; Metazoa; Chordata; Mammalia; Primates; Hominidae. The record is from RNAcentral.
CCACAAUUUUACACAUAGUUACACAGUUUGGUAAAUUUUCAUUGAAAUUUGCUUUUGUUCACUCUGUUUAGAAUUCUUUUCUUUGGAAAUUAAUACCAUAAAAGGGCUGCUACUUAGGAAAAUGGUUCUUUGGUACAACAUAAAAAGUCCUUUACAGGGGAAUUUCACUUGGUAUAGGCCCUGGUAUUCUCUGCCCCCAACAUCAUGCCAUAAAAGGAAAAGGCUUUAGUUUGGGGGUGGGGAGACGAAGACCUUUAAAAUAAACAUUUUGUUUUUAUCUAAUUUUGCUUUAAUCUUUGUUAAGGAAUAAUUUUAAAACAUACUAAAAAGGCUCAAUGAAAUGCCCAGAACACUUACUAAUUCCUUAACUUUAAGUAUAAUAUUUAUUAUAUGGGUCUAAAAUUAUUUCUACCUAAAUGUUCAGAAUUUUAAUGACAGAAUAUUUGUCUUUAAGUCUCAGAGGUUGUGUAAGCCUAGAAAUUGUUUAUCCCGUGGUCAUAUGAUGUGGGAGUAGUAAGGAAUGGAGGAAAUGCUGCCCUGGGGAACUGUAUGGAAUGUAGAUUGUAAGUUAAAAAGAGAAAGUAAAGCAAGUGCUAAUUUCAUUUUUCAUUCGUAGUUUUUUAAAAUUAUUUAUACAGAAUCUUGUUUCUAAAAGUGAACUUAUUUGCCUUCAAAGGCAAUAAGUAAUUUCAAACCUGACCAAUUUUAUCAUUUCACAGUAAGGUAUCAGGGAGAUAAAAGAGCUUAAACGAGAGCUGCCACACAUUGUUUUCACUGUCAACUAUUUGUUUUCUCAGAAGCCUUUUAAAUGAUAGUUCUUGACUAGAAACUAUCAACUGAAGAUUUAUCUUUAACUGACAGGAGGACAGUUUGUGUGUGGUCCGUGGUUAAAGAUCCUUCUGGCCUUGCCUUUCAUGUUGCCAUCUAAUCAAAUGCACAUUUUUAACCCUCCUUUCUCUCACUAGAGCUAUAGGUUAGAUUUUUUGGUGUGUAUUUUGUUCUCUUUGAGGCAGAGUCUCUCUGUCUCCCAGGCUGGAGUGCAGUGGCACCAUCAUAGCUCAAGCGCACUGCAGCCUCCAUCUCCCAGGCUGAGGCAGGAGAAUCACCUGUACCCGGGAGGUGGAGGUUGCAGUGAGCCAAGAUGGCGCCAUUGCACUCCAGCCUGGGUGACAAGAGUGAAAUUCUGUCUCAGAAAAAAAAAUUGUUUCCAGAGAAUAGCGACCAUGAUGUUAUUGCCCUGGUGCCUAGUAAGUAGUGACAUUCAGAAGUUUAGUUGCUACUGUGUGUCAGAUACCACACUAGUCACACUGGACAUAGUGCUCAGUAAUUAUUAAGCUGUAUCCAGUUGCGUUCUGGAGGCUGUAGGAAGAUGUGCAGGCCACAAGGACAUUCUUCCCUACCUGGGCAUAGACUCGUAGUUUUCUUUUGGGUCUAUCAAAAUAACCUGUUGUAUUUAACCUACUUUAAUUCCCUUCAAUUAUAUAUAUAUUAACUAAACAUGCUGUGGGUAUUUUUAAAUAAAUAUGACUCUCAAACUGGAUUUUUAAAUUUUGAAGAAUUAUUCUAUAUGUUGAUUUAUGUUAAUCUAAAUGGAAAUGACUAAUGCCAUAAAGCCGAAAUUCCUCAUGUAGUAUACGGCAUCUCUUUGUUUUCCCUUCCAGGAAAAAGGAUGCAAAAAACACAUGGUAACUGAGGGGUUUGCUUUUCUUGUGUAAAAAAAGAAACAGAUGGGCACUGCACUUAUUUUAUGCCUUCAAAUUCUUAUUUCUGAAAAGCAGUGCAUGGAUCAUAUUAUCUGACUAAAUCUGAGAAGACUUUAAAGGCUUUUGGAUACUUUUAUUUUGCUACUAAAAUAAUUGGCUUUACCUUAACCGGUGAGAACUGGGUACACGAUGUAACUGGGUACACGAUGUAGGGGGAAAGAAAUAUUUGCUCUUUUUAUCUUCUCCCUACAAAUUUCUACCCUUAGGUUCUUUAGCAACAUUUAACAUUCUAAAAUAAUGUGGAGUGUUUCUCAGUGUUCUAAAUGGAAAGUAAUUGCUGCUUCCUCAUUUUCAUUUUUCAUUCUUGCAUUUACUUUGCUUGGUUUCUACCUAAAGUAGUUUUUUGCAUGACUUUUGGCUGGAAUUUUGGUUUGCAGGUGACCGCAACUUUUUCUUUGCUUCGUUGCCAUUUUUUCUGAUUGCCUUUUUUUUUCUUUCUGCUUCCUUUUUCUUUCCUCGCAUUGCCAUCUACAGCCAGGCUAUAUAAGAGAUUUGGUAAGUUCUCCAUAUUUACCACAAAAGAAAAAGAAUAAAUAAAAAUUCAUAGCCACAACCUUCCCUCAUGGAAUUUACCCCAGUAGUGAAAUUUAAAUUUAAAAUAGAAAUGAUUAUGGUGAUUUCAAGUACCUUAAAGCUGCUAACAAAUAUUCCUGCUAGAAACAUGUAUUCCAGGUAUUCAUUCUGAUUAUAGACAUAGUGCUAAAUUUAAUUAAAACUCGUGUAUAUGUGGAUUAGAAUGUGCUGUUCUGUAAUAGUAGUACCGUUAGGUGUAUGCAUUUGGAAUAUGUCUCAAGUGUGGCAACUAUGUACUCCUAAUAGUACUUUUUGUUGAUAUAUGAAAACUGAAAUUAAGACUUAUUUUGAAAAAUCCUUAUACAUUACAUUAUUACAGUGUCCAAAUGUAGCUUCAGAUAUUUUGAUUUCAACUCUUACAAUAUGAUUUUGGGGUACGGGGUGCGUAAUUCAAUCUUUUGAUCUUUUGUCUCAGUUCUCCCAUGAGAGAAUAAUGUUCAAUGGUAAAGGUGAUGUUUACUCAUGUUUAGAUAACAGCGAGAAUCUUGGAGGCCCAUCAGAAUGUAGCUCAGAUGAGUCUAAUUGAAGCCAAGAUGAGAUUUAUUCAAGCUUGGCAGUCACUACCUGAAUUUGGCAUCACUCACUUCAUUGCAAGGUCAGUGGUUCUAAGCAUCUAUGUGUAAACCUUAAUCUGCAUUUUUGCUUAAUCUACCUCAUGUAAUUAGAUAUUAAACAUCUAAAGCAUACCUAUGUAGACCCAUUAACUCAUAUUACAAUAGAAUUCAAAGACUGUUAGAAUGUAUUUUGUAAGCUUUUAAUUUCUACAUUAAAAAUUCAAGAUAAUUGUGUUUGUUUUACUACUAAGAGAAUAGCACUCUUGGCCAGGCACGGUGGCUCACGCCUGUAAUCGCAGCACUGUGGGAGGCCGAGGUGGGUGGAUCACGAGGUCAGGAGAUAGAGACCAUCCUGGCUAACACGGUGAAACCCUGUCUCUACUAAAAAUACAAAAAAUUAGUGGGGCAUGGUGGUGGGCGCCUGUAGUCCCAGCUACUCGGGAGGCUGAGGCAGGAGAAUGGCGUGAACCCAGGAGGCGGAGCUUGCAGUGAGCUGAGAUCGCGCCACUGCACUCCAGCCUGGGCAACAGAGCAAGACUCCGUCUCAAAAAAAAAAAAAAAGAAUAGUACUCUUUUAGGGUUAGAGAGAACACUUAUCUUGAAGAAAAGCAGUCCAACAUGUUCCCCCACAACAUGUUUUUAACCGUUCUUUUCUUAAAUGUUAUAGGUUCCAAGGGGGCAAAAAAGAAGAACUUAUUGGAAUUGCAUACAACAGACUGAUUCGGAUGGAUGCCAGCACUGGAGAUGCAAUUAAAACAUGGCGUUUCAGCAACAUGAAACAGUGGAAUGUCAACUGGGAAAUCAAAAUGGUAAACUCAUAACAAUGUUACUUGAAUAUAGUCCUUCUCUGAUACAAAUUAGUACAUUAAGAAUAAAAAGGCCUAUAAAUUCUGAUGAUUAUUUGUACCACCACCUCUUAAAGUACAGACAGACCAUGGUUGACUAUUCAUUUCUCACUUAAAUUUGCCUAUUUCAUAAUUAGCCCAGUUACUAAAAUUCUAAGUGCAUAAUUUGCUUAGAAUGUUGCCUUUUUUGUCUUUCUGUAAUGGAUAAAGCCGAUCUACUCUGAAAUAGCAGCUACUGUUUGUUGAAUGCCUACCCUGUGCCAGACAUGAUACUUAGAGGCUUACAUUAGUACCCUGUCUCUAAACCUCAUCACAGCCUUUUAAGGCAGUUGGACAAAUGAAGACACUGCAAUAGAGAGACCUGAGGGCCAUCAUUGUCUAUGACCACGCACAAAGUAACUACAGAAUCAUUUCAAACUCAGAUGCUUUAGGCUUAAAAACCUGGCACAUUUACCACUGUACAUCAUGUUGCCCCCAGUCUUGGAGUAUACGAGUAUCAUUUAAAAUGAACCAUCUUUUACUAAUAAGUCAUUUGGUUUAGCAUCAUAUUGGAUUUAUUGUAUCAAUUCCUAUUACUUCAAAGAAUCUUAUAUUUCUGAAAUACUCAAACGUGAUACCUAAAAUUUAAGUAUCUGAAGCGAACGUUAAAACACAGGAAGUAGGCUUUCCUGCACGACUUGAAGAGAGGCAUUCUCAUUAAUUGAAUCAAUCACCAGAGACCAUUUGAGAACUGAACGACCUAAAACCCUUGCAUUCCUAGUCUUCCUUUUCAGAACAUGAAAACUUAAAGUGUAGGGGAAGGGCAAUAAACUUAGCUUCUUCUUUGGGACUUAAAGGCAUUAUUCGUUUAGGUUUUAGACAGACUGAUCAUUUGAGGAUCAACAAGUGUUUUGUGAUAUGACAGACUUUAAGUAGCACAGUAGUUUUGUGUGGACCCAGCCACCUAGCAUUUGGGACAGCACUGAUGGCUCUUGUCUUUGUUCCAGGUCACCGUAGAGUUUGCAGAUGAAGUACGAUUGUCCUUCAUUUGUACUGAAGUAGAUUGCAAAGUGGUUCAUGAAUUCAUUGGUGGCUACAUAUUUCUCUCAACACGUGCAAAAGACCAAAACGAGAGUUUAGAUGAAGAGAUGUUCUACAAACUUACCAGUGGUUGGGUGUGAAUAGGAAUACUGUUUAAUGAAACUCCACGGCCAUAACAAUAUUUAACUUUAAAAGCUGUUUGUUAUAUGCUGCUUAAUAAAGUAAGCUUGAAAUUUAUCAUUUUAUCAUGAAAACUUCUUUGCCUUACCAGACCAGUUAAUAUGUGCACUAAACAAGCACGACUAUUAAUCUAUCAUGUUAUGAUAUAAUAAACUUGAAUUUGUCACACAUUCCUUAGGGCCAUGAAUUGAAAACUGAAAUAGUGGGCAAAUCAGGAACAAACCAUCACUGAUUUACUGAUUUAAGCUAGCCAAACUGUAAGAAACAAGCCAUCUAUUUUAAAGCUAUCCAGGGCUUAACCUAUAUGAACUCUAUUUAUCAUGUCUAAUGCAUGUGAUUUAAUGUAUGUUUAAUUUGAUAUCAUGUUUUAAAAUAUCCUACUUCUGGUAGCCAUUUAAUUCCUCCCCCUACCCCCAAAUAAAUCAGGCAUGCAGGAGGCCUGAUAUUUAGUAAUGUCAUUGUGUUUGACCUUGAAGGAAAAUGCUAUUAGUCCGUCGUGCUUGAUUUGUUUUUGUCCUUGAAUAAGCAUGUUAUGUAUAUUGUCUCGUGUUUUUAUUUUUACACCAUAUUGUAUUACACUUUUAGUAUUCACCAGCAUAAUCACUGUCUGCCUAAAAUAUGCAACUCUUUGCAUUACAAUAUGAAGUAAAGUUCUAUGAAGUAUGCAUUUUGUGUAACUAAUGUAAAAACACAAAUUUUAUAAAAUUGUACAGUUUUUUAAAAACUACUCACAACUAGCAGAUGGCUUAAAUGUAGCAAUCUCUGCGUUAAUUAAAUGCCUUUAAGAGAUAUAAUUAACGUGCAGUUUUAAUAUCUACUAAAUUAAGAAUGACUUCAUUAUGAUCAUGAUUUGCCACAAUGUCCUUAACUCUAAUGCCUGGACUGGCCAUGUUCUAGUCUGUUGCGCUGUUACAAUCUGUAUUGGUGCUAGUCAGAAAAUUCCUAGCUCACAUAGCCCAAAAGGGUGCGAGGGAGAGGUGGAUUACCAGUAUUGUUCAAUAAUCCAUGGUUCAAAGACUGUAUAAAUGCAUUUUAUUUUAAAUAAAAGCAAAACUUUUAUUUAAUA